UACGUAGGUGGCAAGCGUUGUCCGGAUUUAUUGGGUUUAAAGGGUGCGUAGGCGGUCUUCUAAGUCAGUUGUGAAAUACUUCAGCUUAGCUGGAGAGGUGCAAUUGAUACUGGAAGACUUGAGUACUGAUGAGGUAGGCGGAAUGGACGGUGUAGCGGUGAAAUGCUUAGAUAUCAGGAGGAACACCAAUUGCGAAGGCAGCUCGCUGGGACGUUACUGACGCUGAGACGCGAAAGCGUGGGGAGCAAACAGG
Molecule: ribosomal RNA, 253 nt
Filed under: uncultured bacterium
Lineage: Bacteria
Description: partial 16S ribosomal RNA
Rfam family: Bacterial small subunit ribosomal RNA
Source: RNAcentral